Molecule: ribosomal RNA, 1233 nt
Filed under: Clostridioides difficile
Lineage: Bacteria; Bacillati; Bacillota; Clostridia; Peptostreptococcales; Peptostreptococcaceae
Description: bacterial LSU rRNA
Rfam family: Bacterial large subunit ribosomal RNA
Source: RNAcentral
UGGUCAAGUUAUUAAGGGUGCAGGGCGGAUGCCUUGGCACUAGGAGCCGAUGAAGGACGUGAUAAGCUGCGAUAAGCUUCGGGGAGUUGCACGUAAACUUUGAUCCGAAGAUUUCCGAAUGAGGAAACUCACUUAGAGUAAUGUCUAAGUAUCAUUAAGUGAAUACAUAGCUUAAUGAGGGGAACUCAGGGAACUGAAACAUCUAAGUACCUGAAGGAAGAGAAAGAAAUUCGAUUCCGUAAGUAGCGGCGAGCGAACGCGGAUUAGCCCAAACCAAUAAAGUUUUCUUUAUUGGGGUUGCGGACAUAUCAUAACGAAGAGGUAUCGUAAUUGAAGAGGUUUGGAAAGACCCACCACAGAAGGUAAUAGUCCUGUAUGUUAAACGAGAAGACUUUAGAUAUGAUCCAGAGUACCACGGGACACGUGAAACCCUGUGGGAAGCAGGAGGGACCACCCUCCAAGGCUAAAUACUACCUAGUGACCGAUAGCGUAUAGUACCGUGAGGGAAAGGUGAAAAGAACCCCGGGAGGGGAGUGAAAUAGAACCUGAAACCCUGCACUUACAAGCUGUGGAAGCACAUUUCUUGUGUGACCGCGUACUUUUUGUAGAACGGGCCAACGAGUUACGUUAAGUAGCAAGGUUAAGCACUUAAGGUGCGGAGCCGUAGCGAAAGCGAGUUUUAACUGAGCGUUCAGUUACUUGACGUAGACCCGAAACCGGGCGACCUACCCAUGAGCAGGAUGAAGCGAAAGUAAAAUUUCGUGGAGGUCCGAACCCACGAGCGUUGAAAAGCUCGGGGAUGACUUGUGGAUAGCGGUGAAAUUCCAAUCGAGCCCGGAGAUAGCUGGUUCUCCCCGAAAUAGCUUUAGGGCUAGCCUCAAGGUGAGAGAUACGGAGGUAGAGCACUGAAUGUCCUAGGGGGUAUUGCACCUACCGAAGACUAUCAAACUCCGAAUGCCGUCAUCUUAUACUUGGGAGUCAGACUGUGGGUGAUAAGAUUCAUAGUCGAAAGGGCAACAGCCCAGAUCGUCAGCUAAGGUCCCUAAAUGUAAGUUAAGUGGUAAAGGAUGUGGGAUUGCACAGACAACCAGGAUGUUGGCUUAGAAGCAGCCACUCAUUCAAAGAGUGCGUAAUAGCUCACUGGUCGAGUGAUCCUGCGCCGAAGAUUUCCGGGGCUAAAACUUACUACCGAAGCUACGGCAUCAGUAAUGAUGGGUAGGGGAGCUUCCCAUA